CUUACGUGAAUACAUAGCGUGAGGAAGGCAGACCCAGGGAACUGAAACAUCUAAGUACCUGGAGGAAGAGAAAGAAAAAUCGAUUUCCUGAGUAGCGGCGAGCGAAACGGAAAGAGCCCAAACCAAGAAGCUUGCUUCUUGGGGUUGUAGGACACUCUAUACGGAGUUACAAAAGAAAGUUAUAAAUGAAGCGGUCUGGAAAGGCCCGCCAAAGACGGUAACAGCCCGGUAGUUGAAAUGGCUUUCCCUCCAGAGUGGAUCCUGAGUACGGCGGAACACGUGAAAUUCCGUCGGAAUCCGGGAGGACCAUCUCCCAAGGCUAAAUACUCCCUAGUGACCGAUAGUGAACCAGUACCGUGAGGGAAAGGUGAAAAGCACCCCGGAAGGGGAGUGAAACAGUUCCUGAAACCGUGU
Molecule: ribosomal RNA, 414 nt
Filed under: Listeria monocytogenes
Lineage: Bacteria; Bacillati; Bacillota; Bacilli; Caryophanales; Listeriaceae
Description: partial 23S ribosomal RNA
Rfam family: Bacterial large subunit ribosomal RNA
Source: RNAcentral